AGUGAACGCUGGCGGUAGGCCUAACACAUGCAAGUCGAACGGCAGCACAGUAAGAGCUUGCUCUUACGGGUGGCGAGUGGCGGACGGGUGAGGAAUACAUCGGAAUCUACUUUUUCGUGGGGGAUAACGUAGGGAAACUUACGCUAAUACCGCAUACGACCUACGGGUGAAAGCAGGGGAUCUUCGGACCUUGCGCGAUUGAAUGAGCCGAUGUCGGAUUAGCUAGUUGGCGGGGUAAAGGCCCACCAAGGCGACGAUCCGUAGCUGGUCUGAGAGGAUGCGCAGCCACACUGGAACUGAGACACGGUCCAGACUCCGACGGGAGGCAGCAGUGGGGAAUAUUGGACAAUGGGCGCAAGCCUGAUCCAGCCAUACCGCGUGGGUGAAGAAUGCCUUCGGGUUGUAAAGCCCUUUUGUUGGGAAAGAAAAGCAGCAGGUUAAUACCCCGCUGUUCUGACGGUACCCAAAGAAUAAGCACCGGCUAACUUCGUG
This 492-nucleotide ribosomal RNA is filed under the name uncultured bacterium. RNAcentral's name for it is "partial 16S ribosomal RNA". It matches the Rfam family "Bacterial small subunit ribosomal RNA", at positions 29 to 507 of the family's 1533-position model. The record is from RNAcentral.